Molecule: ribosomal RNA, 431 nt
Filed under: uncultured bacterium
Lineage: Bacteria
Description: partial 16S ribosomal RNA
Rfam family: Bacterial small subunit ribosomal RNA
Source: RNAcentral
CCUACGGGAGGCAGCAGUAAGGAAUAUUGGUCAAUGGACGAAAGUCUGAACCAGCCAUGCCGCGUGAGGGAUGAAGGUCUCUGGAUUGUAAACCUCUCAUAGAGUCUUUGCGGUAAUAGAUGAAUAAGCACCGGCUAACUCCGUGCCAGCAGCCGCGGUAAUACGGAGGGUGCAAGCGUUAUCCGGAUUUACUGGGUUUAAAGGGUGCGUAGGUGGGUUGGUAAGUCAGUGGUGAAAUACUUUCGCUUAACGAAGGAACUGCCAUUGAUACUAUCAGUCUUGAAUACAGUGGAGGUAGGCGGAAUGCGUCAUGUAGCGGUGAAAUGCUUAGAUAUGACGCAGAACACCAAUUGCGAAGGCAGCUUGCUACCUUUAUUGACACUGAGGCACGAAAGCGUGGGGAUCAAACAGGAUUAGAUACCCUUGUAGUC